UCAGAUCUAGUUCUUUCUCUUCUUCCGUUCUUUGAAUUUGUAGCCUGCAAAACUUCUCCAAAUCCAAAUCUUGAUGAAUAUAAAAUAUAAAAUAAAUAAGUAAUUAAUUAACUUAACAAAUAAAAAAUAUAAAAAUAUAGUUAAAAAUGAAAAAGAAAACUGAGGUUGAUUCUGGACUCUUCCCUAACGUCAACAGCAAUAGCAAUAUAGGAGGCGAGCUACUUA
RNAcentral lists this long non-coding RNA (225 nucleotides) under Linum usitatissimum (flax). Its description in RNAcentral is "long non-coding RNA (LUSI_LNC007845)". The record is from RNAcentral. Lineage: Eukaryota; Viridiplantae; Streptophyta; Magnoliopsida; Malpighiales; Linaceae.